This 195-nucleotide ribosomal RNA is filed under the name uncultured bacterium. RNAcentral's name for it is "partial 16S ribosomal RNA". It matches the Rfam family "Bacterial small subunit ribosomal RNA", at positions 1306 to 1500 of the family's 1533-position model. The record is from RNAcentral.
UGCAACUCGAGUGCAUGAAGCUGGAAUCGCUAGUAAUCGCGAAUCAGAAUGUCGCGGUGAAUACGUUCCCGGGUCUUGUACACACCGCCCGUCACACCAUGGGAGUCGGGAAUGCCCGAAGCCGGUGACCCAACCUUAAGGAGGGAGCCGUCGAAGGCAGGCCUGGUAACUGGGGUGAAGUCGUAACAAGGUAGC